RNAcentral lists this microRNA precursor (78 nucleotides) under Trichobilharzia regenti. Its description in RNAcentral is "mir-3492 microRNA precursor family". It matches the Rfam family "mir-3492 microRNA precursor family". Lineage: Eukaryota; Metazoa; Platyhelminthes; Trematoda; Strigeidida; Schistosomatidae. The record is from Rfam by way of RNAcentral.
AGCCCUCUGUAUCCGUUCUGAGAUUUCGUCAAAGACCAAGCCGUUGGGGCUGAUGGUACUUUCCAAGUAAGUGAAGCG